UUGAUAUUGGUUCGCGCCCCUCGACCGUCUGGAGGUCUUUGCGGAUCGUUCGCGAGUCCAACUCGCUCUCUUGUCACGCCUUUGACUCAUGAACUCGAGUCAGACUCAUUCACUGCUGACUUUUUUGAGGAUCGUUCGUUCUUCACUCUCUUGCUAUUACCCGCAGGGAGCGCAGCAACCAAUGGUGCAUAUUAUCAUAUAGAAAGAACCGAAGCAUAG
Molecule: ribosomal RNA, 219 nt
Filed under: Triticum aestivum (bread wheat)
Lineage: Eukaryota; Viridiplantae; Streptophyta; Magnoliopsida; Poales; Poaceae
Description: partial small subunit ribosomal RNA
Source: RNAcentral